CAGUAGCCGCGGGAAUACGAAGGGGGCUAGCGUUGCUCGGAAUGACUGGGCGUAAAGGGCGCGUAGGCGGCGAUCAAAGUCAGGCGUGAAAUUCCUGGGCUCAACCUGGGGGCUGCGCUUGAUACUGGAAGUCUUGAGUCCGGGAGAGAUGAGUGGAACUGCGAGUGUAGAGGUGAAAUUCGUAGAUAUUCGCAAGAACACCAGUGGCGAAGGCGGCUCACUGGCCCGGUACUGACGCUGAGGCGCGAAAGCGUGGGGAGCAAACAGGAUUAGAUACCCCAGUAGUCCCUGUCUCUUAUAC
Molecule: ribosomal RNA, 301 nt
Filed under: uncultured bacterium
Lineage: Bacteria
Description: partial 16S ribosomal RNA
Rfam family: Bacterial small subunit ribosomal RNA
Source: RNAcentral